CCUACGGGCGGCAGCAGUAGGGAAUCUUCCGCAAUGGACGAAAGUCUGACGGAGCAACGCCGCGUGAGUGAUGAAGGUUUUCGGAUCGUAAAGCUCUGUUGUUAGGGAAGAACAAGUACCGUUCGAAUAGGGCGGUACGGUGACGGUACCUAACGAGAAAGCCCCGGCUAACUACGUGCCAGCAGCCGCGGUAAUACGUAGGGGGCGAGCGUUGUCCGGAAUUAUUGGGCGUAAAGCGCGCGCAGGCGGUUCCUUAAGUCUGAUGUGAAAGCCCACGGCUCAACCGUGGAGGGUCAUUGGAAACUGGGGGACUUGAGUGCAGAAGAGGAGAGCGGAAUUCCACGUGUAGCGGUGAAAUGCGUAGAGAUGUGGAGGAACACCAGUGGCGAAGGCGGCUCUCUGGUCUGUAACUGACGCUGAGGAGCGAAAGCGCGGGGAGCGAACAGGAUUAGAUACCCGAGUAGUC
RNAcentral lists this ribosomal RNA (466 nucleotides) under uncultured bacterium. Its description in RNAcentral is "bacterial SSU rRNA". It matches the Rfam family "Bacterial small subunit ribosomal RNA", at positions 338 to 795 of the family's 1533-position model. The record is from RNAcentral.